CCCUUAGAUGUUCUGGGCUGCACGCGCGCUACACUGAUGCACUCAACGAGUUUUCGACCUUGCCCGAUAGGGCUGGGUAAUCUUUUUAAAAUGCAUCGUGAUAGGGAUAGAUUAUUGCAAUUAUUAAUCUUGAACGAGGAAUUCCUAGUAAACGCAAAUCAUCAAUUUGCAUUGAUUACGUCCCUGCCCUUUGUACACACCGCCCGUCGCACCUACCGAUUGAAUGGUCCGGUGAAAUCUCGGGAUUGUGGCCAGUUCACUUUAUUGGGAGUUGGCUGCGAGAACUUGCUUAAACCUUAUCAUUUAGAGGAAGGUGAAGUCGUAACA
Molecule: ribosomal RNA, 327 nt
Filed under: uncultured eukaryote
Lineage: Eukaryota
Description: partial 18S ribosomal RNA
Rfam family: Eukaryotic small subunit ribosomal RNA
Source: RNAcentral